Molecule: long non-coding RNA, 529 nt
Organism: Gorilla gorilla gorilla (western lowland gorilla)
Lineage: Eukaryota; Metazoa; Chordata; Mammalia; Primates; Hominidae
Exons: 3
Source: RefSeq, a predicted model, not a curated record
GAGCGACAAAGCACUGGCAAGAAGCCUCCCAUGCAGGAUGAAGCCAAGGAAGAAGAGAAGAGAGGAAGGACACGCCCAUUAACUAAAGGACCCAAAACAUAUCUCAAGGAGCUCAUGAAGUCAUCCUCAUGCACACAGUUUCCCAGGUGUCAGAUCUGUUUGAAAUGGUGCUGGCACACAGAGGCCACAGGUGGAAACGGCAUCUUCACCCUGCACCUACACAAAACCUGUUCUACCCCCCACGUGCCCUCUGAGAAGAAGGAAGACCAGUUAAUCAUCCAGAGAGAAAGAAAAUGAAGGUCACUUCCCUGGAGCUCAGGGCCACAAACCUAAGAAGAACAUCAUGUGAGGAUGAAGGCAGAGAGCGGGGUGAUGCAGCUGAAGCCAAGGACACUGAAGACUUCCUGCAAACCCCCAGAAGCUGGGGCAGAGGCCCUCCAGUCUCCAGAAGGAGCCAACCAUGCUGAUACCUUGACCUUGGACUCCUAGCCCCAGAACUAUGAGAAAUAAAUUUCUGUUAUUUAAGUCA